Long non-coding RNA from Peromyscus californicus insignis, 1591 nucleotides. RefSeq lists it as uncharacterized. The record is from RefSeq and is a predicted model, not a curated record. The transcript has 2 exons. Lineage: Eukaryota; Metazoa; Chordata; Mammalia; Rodentia; Cricetidae.
UUCAGGAAAGUUCCAUGUAAUUAAGUGCUGGAAACAUAAACUUCAAACGGGAAAUUUUGUCGCGUGUUAUGAUGCUCAAAAUCACCAGUGAGCUGUAAAUGUUCAGAGCUAUCAGUGAGCCACAGAUAACAUAGCGCUGGCUUCCUCAUUCAAAAGAGAGAAGAUGAUUUGAACGAUUGCUUCAAGGUAAACAUUCCAACAGAACCCUCAUUAAUUCGCUUGAAACACAUUUGGAGUAUGUGAGGAUUGAGGAAAGAUCAAAACCAAAGCUCAGUCUGUUACAUGAACCUAUCUGGUGGGACUCUGUGAAGACAGAAACCUGCAGAUGGGGCCACACACAGACACAGUGGCGACAGCCUGGGAGGAACAGGACCUUACAGCUGGACCACUUGUCAAGGUGUGUCAAGGUGUGACAGCUUCCCAGCAUGUCUGCAUCACCUGUCUGUGUGUCCUGUGGACUAAGCAGUUGACUGUCCAAGGGUUUUUAACAGAUUCCAUGAUGCCUGUUGGGCUGGUCCGACCUUUCCUGGGUGUACAAUGAUCAUGCAGCAACACAGAAUCGAGGGGCUUUUUGUAGACUGUCACCUGCCCCCCUUUGUUGCUUUUUCCUUUUUCUAAACCCCAGGAGCAGAGCAGAUUCUGGCAUCUAAAGUUAGCUCUUGAUGGUAUGAGCCCGAGGCAGACACAGUUCUUUCACUGGUCUCUAGCCAAUUAACAUACAGAAGAAACAGCCUGGCCAAAAGGUUUUAGGAGAGUAUUGUCACUCCCCUCGGCUUGCUGUGCGGUCUCUCACUUCUGAAUUCUAAUCAUCCUCUUCUUUGACUGUAGAAUGUAACGUAAAGGUGUGCAAAGCCAAAAUGCCAAUCACCCCAAAAACAGUCCCAGUGUGUGGCCUCCACUGGACUCCCAGGACACACUCCCUCUCCCACUCACUCCAAGAAGUGACCACAUCUUUCAUUUUGAAAUAAUCAUUGUGUUGCUUUCCUUUCAGACUUACCACUGAAAUCUUGUAAAACCUUGUUCCACUCUCCCUCAGCUUCCUGGUUAUCAAAUACGCCAUGCUGCUUGAUGGUCCACUCCUUUUCAUUGUGGCAAAAUGCUGUACUGUAUGAUUACAAUAAGUUGUCUUCGCCUCACCUGCUAAUGAAUGGGCUUUGAGGCUUUUUCAGCAUUUGGGUAAUUGGAAGUAGCAAUGCCACAAAUAUUCAUCUGUUGCCAGGCACAUUUCUGAAUUUCUCUUUGCAUGGUUUUCCAGAGUGGCUGUGCUAACGUAUUAUCACACAGCAUGUACAAAAGUCCUGGGUAUUUGUACCACAGCUAGCACUCAAUACUUCUGGCAAUUUAAGUAUCAGACUAUGCAUGCUGAUAGGUUUUUGUUGUUGUUUAAAGCUUUGUAGAUGGGACAUAGUUGAGAAAUUAGUGUAUCAAACACAUGAACUAUUUUUUAACUCACAAAGAGCCAAAUGUACAAAUCAACAGGGAUACCAGGUUGAAAUUGUAUUAUAACUAAGCAAUUACGCUCUAUGAGGUGUGUCCAAACACAGAUGUGAAUAUGGCCCAACACAAAAUAAUAAACUUACUUUGGAAAUCA